This 253-nucleotide ribosomal RNA is filed under the name uncultured bacterium. Its description in RNAcentral is "partial 16S ribosomal RNA". It matches the Rfam family "Bacterial small subunit ribosomal RNA", at positions 524 to 776 of the family's 1533-position model. RNAcentral also lists the same sequence under 1 other name. The record is from RNAcentral.
UACAGAGGGUGCUAGCGUUAAUCGGAUUUACUGGGCGUAAAGCGUGUGUAGGCGGUUCGUUAAGUCGGAUGUGAAAGCCCUGGGCUCAACCUAGGAAUUGCAUUCGAUACUGGCGGGCUAGAGUACGGUAGAGGGCGGCGGAAUUCCGGGUGUAGCGGUGAAAUGCGUAGAUAUCCGGAGGAACACCGAUGGCGAAGGCAACCGCCUGGGCCUGUACUGACGCUGAGACACGAAAGCGUGGGGAGCAAACAGG